CAGCAGCCGCGGGAAUACGUAGGUGGCAAGCGUUGUCCGGAAUUAUUGGGCGUAAAGGGCUCGCAGGCGGUUUCUUAAGUCUGAUGUGGAAGCCCCCGGCUCAACCGGGGAGGGUCAUUGGAAACUGGGAAACUUGAGUGCAGAAGAGGAGAGUGGAAUUCCACGUGUAGCGGUGAAAUGCGUAGAGAUGUGGAGGAACACCAGUGGCGAAGGCGACUCUCUGGUCUGUAACUGACGCUGAGGAGCGAAAGCGUGGGGAGCGAACAGGAUUAGAUACCCCUGUAGUCCCUGUCUCUUAUAA
RNAcentral lists this ribosomal RNA (301 nucleotides) under uncultured bacterium. RNAcentral's name for it is "partial 16S ribosomal RNA". It matches the Rfam family "Bacterial small subunit ribosomal RNA", at positions 509 to 809 of the family's 1533-position model. The record is from RNAcentral.